This 78-nucleotide transfer RNA is filed under the name Apaloderma vittatum (bar-tailed trogon). It matches the Rfam family "tRNA". Rfam says of the family: Transfer RNA (tRNA) molecules are approximately 80 nucleotides in length. Their secondary structure includes four short double-helical elements and three loops (D, anti-codon, and T loops). Further hydrogen bonds mediate the characteristic L-shaped molecular structure. tRNAs have two regions of fundamental functional importance: the anti-codon, which is responsible for specific mRNA codon recognition, and the 3' end, to which the tRNAs corresponding amino acid is attached (by aminoacyl-tRNA synthetases). tRNAs cope with the degeneracy of the genetic code in two manners: having more than one tRNA (with a specific anti-codon) for a particular amino acid; and 'wobble' base-pairing, i.e. permitting non-standard base-pairing at the 3rd anti-codon position. Lineage: Eukaryota; Metazoa; Chordata; Aves; Trogoniformes; Trogonidae. The record is from Rfam by way of RNAcentral.
GGCCGGUUAGCUCAGUGGUUUGAGCGCGGCGCUAACAAUGACAACACCGAGGUCGCGGGUUCGAUUCCCGCUCGGUCC